Molecule: long non-coding RNA, 289 nt
Organism: Cervus elaphus (red deer)
Lineage: Eukaryota; Metazoa; Chordata; Mammalia; Artiodactyla; Cervidae
Exons: 4
Source: RefSeq, a predicted model, not a curated record
GGCGCGCUCCAGCGGCGCGGGCACAGCAGGGGCAGCCGCGGGAGCCGGAGUCCGCGCAGAGCCGGGGCCCGCAGACGCUCUGCGGGCGGAGGAUAAUACAGCUUGAAGGACAAAGCUGUUGAAUUCCAGAAAGAGAUAACUUAAACAUGAAAUUCGUCCAGUUUGCAAAACAAGUAUUGUUCCUUGCUUGACAGAUGACGAAGCUGAAAACGAAGAAUGAGUCUUGGAAAAGAGAGAAGAAAAUCAUUAUGAAAAAUCAGCCCAGGCAUAGAAGUCAAUUCAGACAGAG